GUGGUUUUAGAACGAGAGGUGCGUUUUC
This 28-nucleotide non-coding RNA is filed under the name Cricetulus griseus (Chinese hamster). The record is from RNAcentral. Lineage: Eukaryota; Metazoa; Chordata; Mammalia; Rodentia; Cricetidae.